RNAcentral lists this ribosomal RNA (253 nucleotides) under uncultured bacterium. RNAcentral describes it as "partial 16S ribosomal RNA". It matches the Rfam family "Bacterial small subunit ribosomal RNA", at positions 524 to 776 of the family's 1533-position model. The record is from RNAcentral.
UACAGAGGGUGCGAGCGUUAAUCGGAAUUACUGGGCGUAAAGCGAGCGUAGUCGGUUAUUUAAGUCGGGUGUGAAAUCCCCGGGCUCAACCUGGGAAUUGCAUUCGAUACUGGAUAGCUAGAGUUCGGCAGAGGGAAGCGGAAUUUCCGGUGUAGCGGUGAAAUGCGUAGGUAUCGGAAGGAACAUCAGUGGCGAAAGCGGCUUCCUGGACCAGAACUGACGAUCAGGCUCGAAAGCGUGGGGAGCAAACAGG